UGCCACUGCCACCACUGAGACCAUGGAAACCACGGAAACCACCAAGGUAUCUGACAUCACGUCUGCCACCAUGGAGACCAGCACCAUCUGGACUGAGCCCAGCAGCACUGCCACCACUGAGACCAUGGAGGUCACCGAGGUAUCUGAGGUCACCUUGGCCACCACAGAGCCAGGAACCACCGUGACCAAACCUAUUCCCACUGCCACCACCGCGACCAUGGAAGCCACUGAGGAAUCGGAAGCAACACUGGCCACCAUGGAGUCCAGCGUCACAAUGACCGAGCCCAGCAGCACUGCCACCACUGAGACCACGGAGGUCACCGAGGUAUCUGUGGUCACCUUGGCCACCACAGAGCCAGGAACCACUGUAACUGAGCCUAUUGCCACUGCCACCACCGCCACCAUGGAAGCUACGGAGGCAUCGGAGGCCACGUUACCCACCACGGAGACCAACAUCACAAUGACUGAGCCCAGCAGCACUGCCACCACUGAGACCACAGUGGUCACUGAAGUGUCUGAGGUCACGUUGGCCACCACAGAGCCAGGAAGCACAGUGUUUGAACCCAGCACCACUCCCACCAUCCGGACCACAGAAGCCACUGAGACAUCGGAGGCCACAUUGUCUACUACGGAGCCCAGCAUCACCAUAACUGAAUCCAGUUCCACUGCCACCCCUGAGACCACGGUGGCCACCACGGAGCCAGGAACCACCGUGACUGAGCCUAUGGCCACUGCCACCACUGAGACCAUGGAAACCACCGAGGUAUCAGAGAUCACGUUGACCACCACAGAGCCCAGCACCACUACCGAGACCACGGUGGUCACUGAGUCAUCAGAGGCCACUUUGGCUACCACAGAGCCCAGCAUCACCAUGACCGAGCCCAGCACUACUGCUACACCUGAGACCACAGUGGUCACCGAAGUAUCUGAGGUCACGUUGGCAACCACAAUGCCAGGAGCCACCGUGAAUGAGUCCACUGCCACUGCCACCACUGGGACCAUGGAAGCCACGGAGGCAUCGGAGGCCACUCUGGCCACCACGGAGCCCAGCAUCACCAUGACCCAGCCCAGCAGCACUGCCACUAUUGAGACUACGGUGUUCACCGAGGUAUCUGAGGUCACAUUGGCCACCACGGAGCCAGGAACCACCGUGACUGAGCCCAGAACCACUGCCAGCACUGCAACCAUGGGAGCCACCGGGGUUUCUCAGGUCACAUCUGCCGCCACGGAGCCAGGAACCACCACCACUGAGCCCAGGACCACUGCCACCACUGGGACCACUGGGGACGCUGUGGUAUCAGAGUCUACAUUGGUCACCACGGAGCCCAGCAUCACUGUGACCCCGCCCAGCUCAAUUUUCACCACCUGGACAUCAGGUCACACCGAACCCUCAGGGGACACGUCUGCCACCACUUGGCCAACAACUACCUUGACCAUCCCAACCUCAACCGUCACCAAGUGGACCUCAGGGAGUACUGAGGAUUAUGGGGACACCUCGGCCACCACUGAGCCUUCUUCUACCAUGAGCACAUUGAGC
This 1537-nucleotide long non-coding RNA is filed under the name Calidris pygmaea (Spoon-billed sandpiper). RNAcentral's name for it is "lncRNA (ENSCPGG00000015909.1)". Lineage: Eukaryota; Metazoa; Chordata; Aves; Charadriiformes; Scolopacidae. The record is from RNAcentral.